CGAGAGGCCCAAACGUUAUUCGGAAUUACUGGGCUUAAAGAGUCCGUAGGCGGCGCGGAAAGUGGGGUGUGAAAGCCCUCGGCUCAACCGAGGAAUUGCGCUCCAAACUACCGUGCUUGAGGAACCUAGAGGUGAGCAGAACUGAUGGUGGAGCGGUGAAAUGCGUUGAUACCAUCAGGAAUACCGGAGGCGAAGGCGGCUCACUGGGGGUUUUCUGACGCUGAGGGACGAAAGCCAGGGUAGCGAACGGGAUUAGAUACCCCGGUAGUCCUGGCCGUAAACGAUGAGCACUAGGCCGGAGGGCUGCACAGCUUUCCGGCCGUAGCUAAAGUGUUAAGUGCUCCGCCUGGGGAGUAUGGUCGCAAGGCUG
RNAcentral lists this ribosomal RNA (370 nucleotides) under uncultured organism. Its description in RNAcentral is "bacterial SSU rRNA". It matches the Rfam family "Bacterial small subunit ribosomal RNA", at positions 526 to 896 of the family's 1533-position model. The record is from RNAcentral.